Molecule: ribosomal RNA, 490 nt
Filed under: uncultured bacterium
Lineage: Bacteria
Description: partial 16S ribosomal RNA
Rfam family: Bacterial small subunit ribosomal RNA
Source: RNAcentral
GAUGAACGCUAGCGAUAGGCUUAACACAUGCAAGUCGAGGGGCAGCAUGGUCUUAGCUUGCUAAGACUGAUGGCGACCGGCGCACGGGUGCGUAACGCGUAUGCAACUCGCCUCACAGAGGGGGAUAACCCGUCGACAGACGGACUAAUACCGCGUACACUCCAUCUUGGGCAUCCAAGGUAGAGGAAAUGAACUUCGCUGUGAGAUAGGCAUGCGUCCCAUUAGCUAGUUGGUGAGGUAACGGCUCACCAAGGCGACGAUGGGUAGGGGAACUGAGAGGUUGAACCCCCACACUGGUACUGAGACACGGACCAGACUCCUACGGGAGGCAGCAGUGAGGAAUAUUGGUCAAUGGGCGAGAGCCUGAACCAGCCAAGUCGCGUGAAGGAUGACUGUCUUAUGGAUUGUAAACUUCUUUUAUACGGGAAUAACAAGAGUCACGUGUGACUCCCUGCAUGUACCGUAUGAAUAAGCAUCGGCUAACUCCGUG